AGCCAGUGUGUAUAGUGGUUUGAGUGCUGGACUAGGACUCUGGGAGGCCAGGGUUCAAAUCCCCGCUCGGCUG
Molecule: transfer RNA, 73 nt
Filed under: Phrynosoma platyrhinos (Desert horned lizard)
Lineage: Eukaryota; Metazoa; Chordata; Lepidosauria; Squamata; Phrynosomatidae
Description: tRNA-OTHER
Source: RNAcentral